Molecule: long non-coding RNA, 5390 nt
Filed under: Gallus gallus (chicken)
Lineage: Eukaryota; Metazoa; Chordata; Aves; Galliformes; Phasianidae
Description: lncRNA (ENSGALG00010023537.1)
Source: RNAcentral
CAUUAAUGGGUUUUCAUAGCAACAGAUCUCCCAAACUGCCCCAGUCCCUCUCCAAACAGUGCUGUCAAGCCUCUCAAGCAGUACACAUUCCUCGGUUUGAUAUUAGAGCCAAUAUCCUUAUAGCACAGGUGUCUAAGAAUGCACACGGACUUUGAAUGGCACUAAAGACUUAGGAGCAGACCCAAGAACACGAGAGACAGAUAUGGUUGAGGGGCAACAUUUUCCAGCUGCUUUUCAGGUACUGCCAGCCAGCUGCAUCUUGUCUUGUCCUGGCAUUGCUGCCACCCAGCUUGUUUCCUGUUAGAGCUAACUUUCUUUGGGAUAUAGAGCAUAUUAACUACAGAGAUCUUAAAACACAGCUUCCACCCAUAGCAUGUGGGAACAAAACCAAACCUCAGCUUCUGUUUUUGCACAGUGACGACUCUGACUCCCUUCAUCUGAAAAAUCCCUUCAGGAAAAUGAAGCAUUAAUCCUGUACUUCUAUGGCAGACUCUAACUCUCUUCCCUCAUAGCAGGAAGCCUUGUUAGGAUCAAUCUGAGUCACAGCUGCUCUGAAUUCCAAAGGGUGAGAUCUGUUGGGCUGUUGUAAAUUACUCUCUUCACAGAGGGCAAGAGGCUGUAAGUGGCACAGGUGUGCCACCACUUAACCACCCUCACCACAGGCUGCGGCUCUUGGGAGAGCUGGCUAGCAAUGUAGUCAAGGGAAAAAAUAAAAGGAGGAAGACUUCUCUUUGCUAAGGGCACAUCAGCAAGCCUUGCAAGUGCCAGAGUUUUUGUAUCUCGCCAAGGAGUACAGCAGGCAAGCAUUCCCUUUGAAUGAAAUGUCUACUGCCUGAGCAAUCUGAGUGCAAACCGGAGCCUAAGUCCUUCUCCUUUGCUCCCUCAUACUGAAGGAGGUGCUGCUGGGAGCUGGUGCUGCACAAGCAAGUUCUGAGCAUGUUUGCUGUUCUUCCUGUGAGUUGCAGCCCGUGUGGCCCAUAGCGAGUUAAACCUCUGAAUCUCUACUGUGCUGCACCACUCCAUGUCUGCCUGUCCUUCAGGUCAAAGGCUUUUGUCCUGCUGUGGGAGGAGGCUAAACACUGCGGGCAGUACUGGCAGGUGAGUGUUUCUCAUUGAAGUCAAAUGUUAACAAGUUAAAUAUAAAGCAAGUCAUAAAAGGUUUGACUUUAGUUAAGACGUUACCCUACUCUUAAAAGACGUGGCUAUGCUUUUCUGAAAGAGGUUUUCCCCUUUUGCAAGCACGUGUUUCUCUAGAAUUUCAGCACUAACUACAAUUAUCCAAAACAACUUUCAAAAGUGUCCUUCUAAUGCAUCUUUUCCAUCGUAGGGACACUGUUUGCUUUGUUUUAAUUUUGAAGUGGCAGAUGGGGUUGUUCAGAAGGAAAAUAUUGGGAGAAGAUAUUUAGUUGCUUAUAUGAGAUAACUGAUCAAGCAUUGGUUCAGCUGAAUGAACCGUAGCCUCUCAUGGACUGGCAAAGCAGCUGCACUGAAAUAGCAAUGCAGCAGCCACUGGGCUGCUGGUGAGCCGCCCUCCUAACGCGGCACAGAGUUGGCAUUUCAGCUGCACUUCACCCAGCCACUGCUGUCAAUCUGCUCGCUCCUCUCAUUUCCUCAGGACACCCUCUAAGUGUUGAGUUCCCUUUUCUUAUUGUUGCAGAAACAUGUUUCUUCUCCAGUCCAGAUUUAUGUAUGGCUUCAGCUUACAGUAUUUAUGUAACCACAGCGGCAGCCAGCAGCUAUGGUUUCGGUAACAGCUGGGCUCUGUUGAAUAGCACCUCCCCUGCGCUACCACUGCCACACUGCAGCGGCUCUGUAAAAGGCAUUCUGCACUUCCAUCUGAAGAGCCCCCUUCUUCCUGGGGGCAGCACUACCACAUUAAUGAACUGAUUUUUAUACAUCAUUUUUACCUGAUUUCAAUUAUUUUUAAGAAAAUAAACAGCACCGUUGCUCUGAAUGUUAUCAUUUCAUAAUUUAACUCCAGCUGUGGACAUGGCUAUGGCGCAAUGGAAAUGGCUUCAGCUCUGUUAAGCGUGUUUGUGAAUGGAGCCAGCCUUGUUUGCAUCCCUAGUUUUAUUUCCCUUAUCUAUCAUAGCAACAAUAACAAACCUGUUGUGAUGUAUCUUGGGAAACUAUCUGUAUGAACUGUAUCGCACACGUUGCAGGGUGAAGUGUUGAGAACUGUGUUCUACCCUUUAAAUAAAUCUGGAAACUUUCAGCAGCCCUUAUAUGCCCACCUGAGAGAAUUCUAGGUAGUACCUGCAAAGCUGACUGGGUUUCCUCAGCAAAAUUAUGCUAUAGCCCCCUGCGCCAGGAGUGAUGCCGGACACUCCACUGAGGCUAAAUUAUAGAUAUUAACAACAACCAGCCUUAACAAAAGGAGGGGGUUGUUUUGUUUUCUUACUCAUGCCUGGGAAAGGCAGUCAUUGCAUUUACCUUCUAAGUUCAGUGUCUAACAACAGGGGAGUUAGAGGGUUUUCUUCCCAGAAGCAUGUUGCAGGUGAGAUGUGGUAGAAAACCAGCAUUGUGCUGGCCUUUCUCGGUACUUUAAGACUUCUAUGAGUCAUUUCUUAACUCAGAAUGAUGAAUAUUCGCACCAGAUUUACAAACAAGCCGUUCAGUAGUAGUCCUAAUUCUAGAAGGUGGACUUUUUACAGACUGUCACCUCCUACUGCUUUGGCAACAUGAAUAAAUGAGGACCAAGAGACAAGAUUCUCUUCUUUGAGCUCCCUGAAAAUAUGACCUCUAGUAAUUUUACUGAUGUACUGCCCAUUCCCUCAGGCAGCGAACUUGACUGGUUAAAUGCAUUGUGUGUGAUGAUCCCUGUGCUCCUGGUGUGCGUUAACUUCAAAAUAAUUAGAAGUUGCUUUAUUUAUCUGUACCAAUCCAUAUUACUACAGCACAUCUAUAGUAAUUCACACUUUGUCAGAAAUCUGUUCUCAACUUCUUUAACUUUGUCCCAGUGCAAUAGGCCAUAAAAACCUUUUUCUCCUUGCCUUGGGACUCUUUAAAUAAAAACAAACACAUACAGAAUGUUAUCUGCAAUCCAGUAAACCCAGCCAGGUUGAUUUAACUUGAUGAUGUCCCACCCAUGUUUUUGAGGGGUCAUGCCAGUUCAGAAACACCUUUGUCAAAUCCUUUCUAUGGCAGCAUAUAAUAACUUACAGUAGUGAAUGAAUCACGUGCUUGGGGAAACAUAAAGCUUCAGUGCAUAUGAGAUCCCAAGGAAAGACUACAACAGGUGAUUUGAGCACUAACAAAGCUGAAUUAACUGACCUGUUACCAUCAGAUAUUACUGGAUAUCUGAAAAGGUAAAAAUGUUCAGUUCUUCUAACUACAUCGUACAGAUACAGUCAAAACUGAUUAUUUUUCUGACCAAAGAUAAGCCACUUGCACAUCUCCUUCAAUGUUUUUUUUUUUUUUUUCCACAACAUGUAUCUGAAGUAUCUCAGGUUAGUUCUACAUGAUGCAGGAAAAUAUCACAGUAUACCUGAUGCUGCUGCGUAGUGACAGCUGGUUGAUAAGUAUGUGAUUAUUAAGUUAUUUUUUAUGAAGUUCACUGUUUAACAACUGAUCAGCCAUAACGUAUUUAUUAUGGCAUGUAAGUCUAUAAAGUAUCAAUAAUGUAGAGUGAUUUAUUAUAGAGUAAUACUGAAGCAGCCUGUGGUAGUGUAGGUAGUGCCUCUGAAGCACAUGGUUUAUCAUGUCCUUACAACAACCUCACCCCUGCUCAUAUUUUCAAAAGAAGGAUGAAGUAUUAUAAUAGUUUAUUGUUUCAUUUUAUUUAAAAAUAGGACUUCUGCUUUCCCAAGGCUGUCAGGUGUAACUUAUUUCUCAAGGCAACGACAGUUACUGUUUGCAGCUGAUACCCAGUCACUCCAUUAGACAGCAAAAGCCCUGCAGCAAGCGUUCUGUUUUGUGGUAAGCUCAUGAUACAGUCACAGUAAGGAGAUACCUCAGGGGUGCUUUGAAGACGGUAAGGAUCUACUUAAUGACAAGUAUAUUCUUAUUUUUCUGUGGCUUCAGCUUCUCAGAGAUCUGAAGUUGGAGUCAUUUGUUUGUUUCACUGUUGUCAAAUUCACAUUGUCAAAUGUUUGUAUCUCUAAUGUGAAUUAUAGGACUUAUUUGUGUAUGUGUGUCUUCAGUUGCAGGUGCGAUUCUUCGCUAAACAACAGAUACAGCGUGGCAAGUGUUGAUAGAUAUUAACAUCAGUGCAGGUGUAGAACUUACACCAUAUGCAGAACCAGCACUUUCUUGCAGUCCCUGGGCUGAUGGGGAAACCCCUCUGUCUCAAAGCAAGCCACAUGUGAGGGUUUUGAACCAGCAUGCUCAAUAGAGACCUGUGAUAUCCACAUCUAAAUCUGCUCUGGUUACGCUCAGUACUCAAUUAGCAUGCUUCCACUUGGGUGUUUAUGAUUUUUGGUGCAUCGGUUGUUCCUUCUAUACUGCUGAAUCAGUAAGGCUGCCUGGCUGUUGCCACAGUGGAAGGUGUAUUUAAUUCAGUGACUGUGCUGUGACAUACAAAGAGGUGUUGUUUCUGAGAGCUCUUCUAGUCAUGGAUUCUGAAGAACUACAACCAGAAAGCUGUUAGUUUCAAACGCUUUGCAUAUCCCUAGCUUGCUCUUACAGAUUUCCGUAACCACCAGGAAUGCUGGAUGCCAGGGAGGAUGCAGAACCCAAGGAAAUCAAAAGGAGCCAUGAGUGUACUCUACAGGGCAAUGGCAGUAUUUGCCAGCUAUGGCUGCAAUACGUAUACACGGAAAGGAGAAAGUACAUGAAGUUCUACUUAAGGUUUUCCUAUGAGCUUCUACGGUUUUCUCUGGGAGCAUCACGAAGAGUUAGGCAACUCCAGAUUGAAAGACCCUGGCCUCAAGGGCUGAAGAAUAGAGCUACAUUGUAACAUCCUGAUACUUGCUGACAAUUUUCUCCCUUAAUAAAACGUUGCCGCUGUCCUCUCCAUUUAUAGCAUCAAAGAGAACCCUUCUAACCUCCUAAAUCCUGUUUUAGUGUCGUAGGCUACAGAUUAUUAGCCAAAGCACAACUGCAUUUGAUGUAGUUAUAUCAGGAAGAAACAUAAGUAACAUUUAUAAUGCAGAAAUACUUAAAAAAAUUUAUUAAAAUUUAUUAAAAUAUGUUUAAAAUUAAAAUUUAAAGCAUUUAAACUUCUGUGUGAGCUCCGAGGCAGCUCUGUCUUUGUGUAUUACUGAAUACGAAAUGCUGAGAGGAAUUGAUGUGGCGGUCUCCUUUUUCUCUAGUUACCCUCCUGCAGCACAGCGCAGCCCGCUGCCCCUACAGGACAGCCUGCUUCAUGACGUUGUCCCUCAAGAUCUCAUUCCACUGUUAAUUUUUUUGUUGUUGUUGUUAGAAUAAAACACCUUGAAGUCCUGCUCUGA